GCAGUGAGCCAGACGGCCGCCGCGCCGUAGCGCCGCAAGGCGCGAAGGCGGGGAGGAAAGUCCGAACUCCGCAGGGCAGUGCGCCGGCUAACGCCCGGUCAGGGCAACCUGAAGGACAGUGGCACAGAAAAUAUACCGCCUCAGACGGCAGCCCUAAAGGGCCGCCCUACGUACUCCGACGGCAGCCGUAAAGGGCCGCCCUCCGUACGUAGGGCACGGCUUCAGCCGUGCCGGUUGAGGUAAGGGUGAAAAGGUGCGGUAAGAGCGCACCGCGCUCGUGGUAACACGGGUGGCAGGCAAAACCCCGCACGGAGCAAGACCAAAUAGGGAGGCGCCCAGCGGCUCACCGCUGGUUGGACGGCCCGUCCAAGUCUCCGGGUAGGUCGCUUGAUCUCGCCAGCAAUGGCCAGGCUAGAGGAAUGGUCGUCAGCCGCCGUAGCCCGAAAGGGCGAAGGCGGGCACAGAAUUCGGCUUACGGCUCGCUGCGAUC
RNAcentral lists this RNase P RNA (490 nucleotides) under Acidobacteriota bacterium. Its description in RNAcentral is "Acidobacteria bacterium RNase P RNA component class A". It matches the Rfam family "Bacterial RNase P class A". From Rfam's summary of the family: Ribonuclease P (RNase P) is a ubiquitous endoribonuclease, found in archaea, bacteria and eukarya as well as chloroplasts and mitochondria. Its best characterised activity is the generation of mature 5'-ends of tRNAs by cleaving the 5'-leader elements of precursor-tRNAs. The record is from RNAcentral. Lineage: Bacteria; Pseudomonadati; Acidobacteriota.